Molecule: ribosomal RNA, 253 nt
Filed under: uncultured bacterium
Lineage: Bacteria
Description: partial 16S ribosomal RNA
Rfam family: Bacterial small subunit ribosomal RNA
Source: RNAcentral
UACGUAGGGUGCGAGCGUUGCCCGGAUUUAUUGGGCGUAAAGGGCGCGUAGGCGGCUCGGCACGUCCGUUGUGAAAUCGCCCGGCUCAACUGGGCGGGGUCAGCGGAUACGGUCGAGCUUGAGCAAGCUAGGGGGCAAUGGAAUUCCCGGUGUAGUGGUGGAAUGCGUAGAUAUCGGGAGGAAUACCGAUGGCGAAGGCAGGUCUCUGGGCUGACACUGACGCUCAUGCACGAAAGCGUGGGGAGCAAACAGG